RNAcentral lists this ribosomal RNA (437 nucleotides) under uncultured bacterium. RNAcentral describes it as "bacterial SSU rRNA". It matches the Rfam family "Bacterial small subunit ribosomal RNA", at positions 29 to 507 of the family's 1533-position model. The record is from RNAcentral.
AACGAACGCUGGCGGCAGGCUUAACACAUGCAAGUCGAACGCUCGUAGCAAUACGGGAGUGGCGGACGGGUGAGUAACGCGUGGGAACGUGCCCUGAGGUACGGAAUGACUGCGGGAAACUGCAGCUAAUACCGUAUGAGCCCCGUGAGGGGGAAAGAUUUAUCGCCUUAGGAGCGGCCCGCGUCGGAUUAGCUAGUUGGUGGGGUAACGGCUUACCAAGGCUUCGAUCCGUAGCUGGUCUGAGAGGACGAUCAGCCACACUGGGACUGAGACACGGCCCAGACUCCUACGGGAGGCAGCAGUGGGGAAUCUUGCGCAAUGGGGGCAACCCUGACGCAGCCAUGCCGCGUGAAUGAUGAAGGCCUUAGGGUUGUAAAGUUCUUUUGCCCGUGACGAUGAUGACGGUAACGGGAGAAUAAGCUCCGGCUAACUUCGUG